CAAAGCACCACGGCGGUUAAUCAAUGACUGCUCUGAAGUGAUGGAUGCAGACAUAGGAUAAUCACCACCAAUACCAAUACCCAACAUAACACGGAAAGCAAAAAGCCACAUCAUUUUAGCAGUCGGUGUAGGAAUACGAUCAGGGAGACAAAUGAUUAAAAUAGUAGCGAUAAUGACAACCAUCAUUUCUUUGCCAUAGACAAAUUUACGACCGAAGAAAUCACCCAAAAACCCAAAUAAAAGUUGACCCAUAAUAUUUCCAAUGUUGGUAGCAGCAUUUACAACACCGCGAAUACCAGAAGGAUAAUCUUGAUGUCCUGUCAAUCCACCCCAAUACAAAUAAGCAAGAAUUGGCGAAACCAAGUUAAUAAUGAAAAGAUCGUAACUGUCCAAAAGAAAACCAGUACCAGCAAUUGCAAGAAGUUUGGCC
Non-coding RNA from Schizosaccharomyces pombe (fission yeast), 430 nucleotides. The record is from the annotation of a GenBank genome assembly. NCBI's taxonomy places the organism in Eukaryota, Fungi, Ascomycota, Schizosaccharomycetes, Schizosaccharomycetales, Schizosaccharomycetaceae.